GACGUAGGAUGCAAGCGUUGUCCGGAAUUAUUGGGCGUAAAGAGCUCGUAGGCGGUUUGUCGCGUCUGCUGUGAAAACUGGAGGCUCAACCUCCAGCCUGCAGUGGGUACGGGCAAACUAGAGUGCGGUAGGGGAGAUUGGAAUUCCUGGUGUAGCGGUGGAAUGCGCAGAUAUCAGGAGGAACACCGAUGGCGAAGGCAGAUCUCUGGGCCGUAACUGACGCUGAGGAGCGAAAGCGUGGGGAGCAAACAGG
This 253-nucleotide ribosomal RNA is filed under the name uncultured bacterium. RNAcentral's name for it is "partial 16S ribosomal RNA". It matches the Rfam family "Bacterial small subunit ribosomal RNA", at positions 524 to 776 of the family's 1533-position model. The record is from RNAcentral.